Molecule: small nuclear RNA, 187 nt
Organism: Schistocerca gregaria
Lineage: Eukaryota; Metazoa; Arthropoda; Insecta; Orthoptera; Acrididae
Product: U2 spliceosomal RNA
Exons: 1
Source: RefSeq, a predicted model, not a curated record
AUCGCUUCUCGGCAUUUUGGCAAAGAUCAAAGUGUAUCAUCUGUUAUCAGCCUAAUAUCUGAUACGUCCUCCAUCGCAGAACCAGAACAUUAAACUCUGUUUCGGUUCAUCACGGAGUGCUGGGGUCUUGCUCUACCUCUGUCAUGGAUUGGCUCAGAAUAGCACUACUACCGGGAUCAAAAACAAU